GCGAUGAAGGGACGCUGCGUGGUAGGUCAGCCUCUUAACGGAUUGAGGUGCCAAACGCGUAGGACGUUGAAGGGUGUAGGUAAGUCCGCACCCCGAGUCCGAAACGUGAUGGCGGUGCCUUAGAGCCACAAGUGAUUGAGCCAUGCCGCCUAGAAAAGCUUCUAAGCGUUGAUAUUUGAGUGACCGUACCGCAAACCGACACUGGUAGGUGGGUAGAAUAUACCAAGGGGAGCGAGAGAACCCUCGUUAAGGAAUUAGGCAAAUUUCCCCCGUACGUUCGCAAUAAGGGGGGCCUCUGGUGGUGAGCUUAAUCGCAAAGCUGCUGGAGGCCGCAGAGAAAUGGCUCUUCCAACUGUUUAACAAAAACACAGGUCUCUGCUAAGUCGAAAGACGAAGUAUAGGGGCUGACGCCUGCCCAGUGCUGGAAGGUUAAGGGGAGAGGUUAGGCGCAAGCCGAAGCUUUGAGCCGAAGCCCCAGUGAACGGCGGCCGUAACUAUAACGGUCCUAAGGUAGCGAAAUUCCUUGUCAGGUAAGUUCCGACCCGCACGAAUGGCGUAAUGAGAGGAGCACUGUCUCAACGAGGGACUCGGCGAACAUUGAAGGACGUGUGAAGAUACACGUGACCCGCAGCGGGACAAAAAGACCCCGUGAAGCUUUACUACAACUUGCCAUUGAGUUAGGGCUAAACCUGUGUAGUAUAGGUGGGAGGCUUUGAAGCUGGGACGCCAGUCUCGGUGGAGCCACCGUUGAAAUACCACCCUGGUUUAUUCUUGGCUCUAACCUGUCGCCGUUAUCCGGCAUGGGAACAGUGGCUGGUGGGUAGUUUGACUGGGGCGGUCGCCUCCGAAAGCGUAACAGAGGCGCCCAAAGGUUCCCUCAGGCUGAAUGGAAACCAGCCGUUGAGUGUAAAGGCACAAGGGAGCUUGACUGCAAGACCAACAAGUCGCGCAGGGACGAAAGUCGGGCUUAGUGAUCCCACGGUUCAGGGUGGAAUGGCCGUGGCUUACCGGAUAAAAGCUACUCCGGGGAUAACAGGGUAGUCUGGUCCAAGAGUUCAUAUCGACGACCAGGUUCGCCACCUCGAUGUCGGCUCAUCACAUCCUGGGGCUGGAUAAGGUCCCAAGGGUUGGGCUGUUCGCCCAUUAAAGUGGUACGUGAGCUGGGUUCAGACCGUCGUGAGACAGGUCGGUCUCUAUCCGCUGUGGGCGUAAGGGAUUUGAGAGAAGCUGCCCCUAGUACGAGAGGACCGGGGUGGACGGACCUCUAGUGUGCCAGUUGUUCUGCCAAGAGCAUUGCUGGGUAGCUACGUCCGGCAGAGAUAACCGCUGAAAGCAUCUAAGUGGGAAACUCGUCUCAAGAUUAGAUCCCUCAUCCGUAUGGAGUAAGACCGCUAGAAGACUACUAGUUUGAUAGGCGGCAGGUGUAAGCGCAGUAAUGUGUUCAGCUUAGCCGUACUAAUGGUCGAGGGCUUACGUUU
This 1478-nucleotide ribosomal RNA is filed under the name metagenome. RNAcentral describes it as "bacterial LSU rRNA". It matches the Rfam family "Bacterial large subunit ribosomal RNA", at positions 1461 to 2925 of the family's 2925-position model. The record is from RNAcentral.